AGAGUUUGAUCCUGGCUCAGGACGAACGCUGGCGGCGUGCUUAACACAUGCAAGUCGAACGAUGAUGCCCAGCUUGCUGGGCGGAUUAGUGGCGAACGGGUGAGUAAUACGUGAGUAACCUGCCCUUGACUCUGGGAUAAGCCUGGGAAACUGGGUCUAAUACUGGAUACUACCUCUUACCGCAUGGUGGGUGGUGGAAAGGGUUUUACUGGUUUUGGAUGGGCUCACGGCCUAUCAGCUUGUUGGUGGGGUAAUGGCUCACCAAGGCGACGACGGGUAGCCGGCCUGAGAGGGUGACCGGCCACACUGGGACUGAGACACGGCCCAGACUCCUACGGGAGGCAGCAGUGGGGAAUAUUGCACAAUGGGCGGAAGCCUGAUGCAGCGACGCCGCGUGAGGGAUGACGGCCUUCGGGUUGUAAACCUCUUUCAGUAGGGAAGAAGCGAGAGUGACGGUACCUGCAGAAGAAGCGCCGGCUAACUACGUGCCAGCAGCCGCGGUAAUACGUAGGGCGCAAGCGUUGUCCGGAAUUAUUGGGCGUAAAGAGCUCGUAGGCGGUUUGUCGCGUCUGCUGUGAAAGCCCGGGGCUCAACCCCGGGUCUGCAGUGGGUACGGGCAGACUAGAGUGCAGUAGGGGAGACUGGAAUUCCUGGUGUAGCGGUGAAAUGCGCAGAUAUCAGGAGGAACACCGAUGGCGAAGGCAGGUCUCUGGGCUGUUACUGACGCUGAGGAGCGAAAGCAUGGGGAGCGAACAGGAUUAGAUACCCUGGUAGUCCAUGCCGUAAACGUUGGGCACUAGGUGUGGGGGACAUUCCACGUUUUCCGCGCCGUAGCUAACGCAUUAAGUGCCCCGCCUGGGGAGUACGGCCGCAAGGCUAAAACUCAAAGGAAUUGACGGGGGCCCGCACAAGCGGCGGAGCAUGCGGAUUAAUUCGAUGCAACGCGAAGAACCUUACCAAGGCUUGACAUUCACCGGACCGCCCCAGAGAUGGGGUUUCCCUUCGGGGCUGGUGGACAGGUGGUGCAUGGUUGUCGUCAGCUCGUGUCGUGAGAUGUUGGGUUAAGUCCCGCAACGAGCGCAACCCUCGUUCUAUGUUGCCAGCACGUGAUGGUGGGGACUCAUAGGAGACUGCCGGGGUCAACUCGGAGGAAGGUGGGGAUGACGUCAAAUCAUCAUGCCCCUUAUGUCUUGGGCUUCACGCAUGCUACAAUGGCCGGUACAAAGGGUUGCGAUACUGUGAGGUGGAGCUAAUCCCAAAAAGCCGGUCUCAGUUCGGAUUGAGGUCUGCAACUCGACCUCAUGAAGUCGGAGUCGCUAGUAAUCGCAGAUCAGCAACGCUGCGGUGAAUACGUUCCCGGGCCUUGUACACACCGCCCGUCAAGUCACGAAAGUUGGUAACACCCGAAGCCGGUGGCCUAACCCCUUGUGGGAGGGAGCCGUCGAAGGUGGGACUGGCGAUUGGGACUAAGUCGUAACAAGGUAACC
Molecule: ribosomal RNA, 1487 nt
Filed under: Kocuria rosea
Lineage: Bacteria; Bacillati; Actinomycetota; Actinomycetes; Micrococcales; Micrococcaceae
Also listed under: 3 other names
Description: bacterial SSU rRNA
Rfam family: Bacterial small subunit ribosomal RNA
Source: RNAcentral